This 465-nucleotide ribosomal RNA is filed under the name Vreelandella stevensii. RNAcentral's name for it is "partial 16S ribosomal RNA". It matches the Rfam family "Bacterial small subunit ribosomal RNA", at positions 338 to 795 of the family's 1533-position model. Lineage: Bacteria; Pseudomonadati; Pseudomonadota; Gammaproteobacteria; Oceanospirillales; Halomonadaceae. The record is from RNAcentral.
CCUACGGGGCGCAGCAGUGGGGAAUAUUGGACAAUGGGCGAAAGCCUGAUCCAGCCAUGCCGCGUGUGUGAAGAAGGCCUUCGGGUUGUAAAGCACUUUCAGUGGGGAAGAAAGCCUUGGGGCUAAUACCCUCGAGGAAGGACAUCACCCACAGAAGAAGCACCGGCUAACUCCGUGCCAGCAGCCGCGGUAAUACGGAGGGUGCGAGCGUUAAUCGGAAUUACUGGGCGUAAAGCGCGCGUAGGCGGUCUGAUAAGCCGGUUGUGAAAGCCCCGGGCUCAACCUGGGAACGGCAUCCGGAACUGUCAGGCUAGAGUGCAGGAGAGGAAGGUAGAAUUCCCGGUGUAGCGGUGAAAUGCGUAGAGAUCGGGAGGAAUACCAGUGGCGAAGGCGGCCUUCUGGACUGACACUGACGUUGAGGUGCGAAAGCGUGGGUAGCAAACAGGAUUAGAUACCCGAGUAGUC